This is a non-coding RNA of Saimiri boliviensis boliviensis (Bolivian squirrel monkey), 1817 nucleotides long. NCBI's taxonomy places the organism in Eukaryota, Metazoa, Chordata, Mammalia, Primates, Cebidae. The record is from RefSeq and is a predicted model, not a curated record.
AAUUGCUAAAAGGGUCUAGAUGGUAACUAAAUCCUAUUUGGAAGUUUUAGAAUGAAUGAGGACUUACCUGAUUUGUAAUUUUGCAAGUAUUAUUUUCAUAAAACCAAUUUUGUGAAUAACAGGUUGAAAUCUGCCACAGGAAAAGAUAGAACAGUUUACGAAGGAUUGGAAAUGAUGAGAAGUUUUUAGUUUUAGAUAGGUGGCCAGGAUAGGCCUUGCUAAUAGGUGGCAUUUGAAAAAAAGAGUUGAAGUAGUUGAGGGAGUUAGCCAUGUGGAUGUCUGAGGGAAGGGAGUAGCAUACAGAGUAACAGCCUGUGCAGAGGCCUGAAGGGAGAAGAGUGUACCUGGCCUGUUUGAGGAACAGCAAGGAAGUCAGUAUGGCUGAAGAAGAUUAAGCAAGGGAGAGAAUUGUAGGAUGGUAUCAUAGAGGUAAGGAAAUAGGGAGGCUAGGUCAUGUCGAGUCUUCUAGGCCAUUGUAAAGUCUUGGGCUUUUGCUCUUGGUGAGAUGGCAGGACAUUAGAGACUUUUAAGCAGAGAAGUGACAUGAUCUGACUUGUGUUUUAAGAGCAUAACCCUGUGUUGGGAAUAUCACAGGGAAAUCAGUUAAUAGGCUAUUAUAGUAAUCCAAGUAAGAGAUGAUGGUGACUUGGUCUAGCAUGGCAGCAAUGUAGAGGAUGAGAAGUUAUCAGAUUCCAGAUAAAGAGAGAGCCAGCAUAUUUUCCUGAAAGAUAGGCUGUGGAGUAUAAGAAAAAAAGGAGUCGAGAAUGCGCCCUAGAAUUUUGUCCUGAGCAAAAUUGAACAAAGUGUGGGACUCAUAGGUCUAAGUUUUGGGUGAGAAUAUUUCUUCAGUUUUUGGCACAUUAACUUUGAGAAGUGUUUCAAAAGAGGAUAUAUUUUGAAAGUAAUUGAAUAUAUAAGUUUAAAGUUUAGAGAGAUGUCUAGACGAGACAUAAAAAUUUGGAAGUUGGUAUGUAGACGGUUUUUAAAGCCCACCAGAGAAGUGAGUGCAGAUGGAGAAGAAAACACCAUCAAGGACUGAGCCUUGGAAUGCUCCAAUUUUAAGAAAUCUGAGCGAAGAGGAGGAAACAGCCAAGGCAACUGGGAACUACUGAGGUUAAAAAAUAAAAUCUUCAGUAUUAUUGGAACAAUGUUAUGUCCUGAAAGUCAAGUAAAGAAUGUGUAUCAGAAGAGAGUCAUCAGAUGGUUAAAGCCGCUGAUGUAUCAAGAUGAGGACUGAGAAUUGGUCAUUGGAUUUAGCAACAUGGUGCUCAUUUGUGACUUUGACAAGUAGUUUUGAAAGAAAGGUGAGAGCCAGAGCUGACCUGAAGUGGGUUUUAGAGCAAAUAGGAGAAAAGAUUUAGUCACAGAGAGUAUAGACAACUUUUGAGAAAUUUUGCUGCAGUGGGGAGUUGAGUAGUGGGACUGUAGCUGCUGAGAGAAAUGGGAUUAAGAGAUUUUUGUUGUUGUUGUUUCUUAAAGAUGGGAGAGAAAACAGCUUGGUGGGAUCCAUUUAAGAAUGGGAAAGCUUAGUAAUAGAGGAGAAAGGGAGAAUUACUUUAGCAAUGUCCUUGAACUACAGUAAUGAAAAAGAAUAACAAGUAGAGCACGAGUGGAGGGUUUGACUGAAGAUAGGAGUAGUCUCCCAUAGUAAAAGAUGAAAAGACAAACAUGCUUGUACAUGCUGAUAGUUAAGUGUAUAAGUGGUGGUAAAUCAGUGGCAGUUUUCUUCUGAUUGUUUCAUUUGUUUCAGGGUAGUAGCCAACAAGAUCAUUAUCUGUGAAUGAGGAUCAGUAUAUGCAAAGAAAACCAUCAUGCCC